RNAcentral lists this ribosomal RNA (388 nucleotides) under uncultured bacterium. RNAcentral's name for it is "bacterial SSU rRNA". It matches the Rfam family "Bacterial small subunit ribosomal RNA", at positions 957 to 1346 of the family's 1533-position model. The record is from RNAcentral.
UAACGCGAAGAACCUUACCAGGGCUUGACAUACUGAGGAAUGGCUGAGAGGUCAGCCAGCCCUUCGGGGCCUCAGAACAGGUGGUGCAUGGUUGUCGUCAGCUCGUGUCGUGAGAUGUUGGGUUAAGUCCCGCAACGAGCGCAACCCCUGCUGUUAGUUGGCAACGGGCAAAGCCGGCCACUCUAACGGGACUGCCGGUGACAAAUCGGAGGAAGGUGGGGACGACGUCAAAUCAUCAUGCCCCUUAUGUCCUGGGCUACACACGUACUACAAUGGCUGAUACAGAGGGAAGCGAAGUCGCAAGGCAGAGCAAACCCCCAAAAACAGUCUCAGUUCAGAUUGCGGGCUGCAACCCGCCCGCAUGAAGUAGGAAUUGCUAGUAAUGGCA